Oreochromis aureus is the source of this 554-nucleotide long non-coding RNA. RefSeq lists it as uncharacterized. The record is from RefSeq and is a predicted model, not a curated record. NCBI's taxonomy places the organism in Eukaryota, Metazoa, Chordata, Actinopteri, Cichliformes, Cichlidae. The transcript is spliced from 2 exons.
CAGGCGUACACUUAAGGACUAGAACCGCACCAGAACAUGAAUGCCGAACACCAGGAGAGCUUGGCCCGUCCGACUCCAGCGAGUCUGUUUACGGAGAAAAGUUAGCGAGACGCGGCCGGAUGGUUCUCGCGAUCGUACGCCUCCUGGCGUGGAUGGGACCCGGAAAGGUGCGCUUGCCUGCUCAGAAAACCUUUACAAACAGGUAUUUUUUUUUAAUGUUUAAUGUGCUACAAAGAUGGCGGCCCCGCGACACCGGAGGUGGAAGCCGGAGAGUGUUAACCUGCCAGGGGGCGGGCUCUAUGCCGGCGGAGGCGAAGAGAUCUGAGGUCAGUUCGAAGAGAAGAGUGUGCGUCAGAGGGCUGUGAGGCAGUGACCGAGGCUGACCGCAGAUCAGCCAACAGGAGAGGCUGAUUCCCGCCUGUGCAGCAAAGAAGAGCACGACAUGUUGGGAGUAGUAGAAGAGUCCAGCGUUUUGUUUUCUGGAAUUUCACAUUUAAAUAUGUAUAAAUUAAAAUAUUUAUUAAUAAAUCUCCAAUAAACAAAGAAAACUGACA